GACGAACGCUGGCGGCGUGCCUAAUACAUGCAAGUUGAGCGCUGAAGGUUGGUACUUGUACCGACUGGAUGAGCAGCGAACGGGUGAGUAACGCGUGGGGAAUCUGCCUUUGAGCGGGGGACAACAUUUGGAAACGAAUGCUAAUACCGCAUAAAAACUUUAAACACAAGUUUUAAGUUUGAAAGAUGCAAUUGCAUCACUCAAAGAUGAUCCCGCGUUGUAUUAGCUAGUUGGUGAGGUAAAGGCUCACCAAGGCGAUGAUACAUAGCCGACCUGAGAGGGUGAUCGGCCACAUUGGGACUGAGACACGGCCCAAACUCCUACGGGAGGCAGCAGUAGGGAAUCUUCGGCAAUGGACGAAAGUCUGACCGAGCAACGCCGCGUGAGUGAAGAAGGUUGUCGGAUCGUAAAACUCUGUUGGUAGAGAAGAACGUUGGUGGGAGUGGAAAGCUCAUCAAGUGACGGUAACUACCCAGAAAGGGACGGCUAACUACGUG
Molecule: ribosomal RNA, 497 nt
Filed under: uncultured bacterium
Lineage: Bacteria
Description: partial 16S ribosomal RNA
Rfam family: Bacterial small subunit ribosomal RNA
Source: RNAcentral